This 617-nucleotide ribosomal RNA is filed under the name Malassezia furfur. Its description in RNAcentral is "partial 26S ribosomal RNA". It matches the Rfam family "Eukaryotic large subunit ribosomal RNA", at positions 65 to 618 of the family's 3401-position model. The record is from RNAcentral. Lineage: Eukaryota; Fungi; Basidiomycota; Malasseziomycetes; Malasseziales; Malasseziaceae.
CUUUACAAAGGAUUCCCCUAGUAACGGCGAGUGAAGAGGGAAGAGCUCAAAUUUGAAAGCUUGUUCCUUCGGUAUCCGCGUUGUAACCUCGAGACACGUUUUUCGUGCGGCGCUAUGGACAAGUUCCUUGGAACAGGACAUCGUAKWSSSYSARWAWMCYRUACUUGCCAUGGGAURKACCGUGCUUUGCGAUACGUGCUCUAAGAGUCGAGUUGUUUGGGAUUGCAGCUCAAAAUGGGKGGUAGACUCCAUCUAAAGCUAAAUAUCGGGGAGAGACCGAUAGCGAACAAGUACCGUGAGGRAAAGAUGAAAAGCACUUUGGAAAGAGAGUUAAAAGUACGUGAAAUUGUCGAAAGGGAAGCGCYUGAAGUCAGCCAUGCCGCUCAGGACUCAGCCUGGCUUUUGCUUGGUGUAUUUCCUGGGUAGCAAGUCAGCAUUGGUUUGGAUCGUCGGAGAAGCAUAGUCGGAAUGUGGCGCCYYCGGGCGUKUUAUASCCUUCUAUUGGAUACGACGAUCUAGACCAAGGAAACGCAGCGGCCCUUUAAGGGCGGGGUCUUUCGGGACACCCUUCGCGCUUUAGGAAGGCUGGGCGUAAUGAGAGGGAAUUCUUUUUAAAA